RNAcentral lists this long non-coding RNA (821 nucleotides) under Equus caballus (horse). Its description in RNAcentral is "lncRNA (ENSECAG00000043779.2)". Lineage: Eukaryota; Metazoa; Chordata; Mammalia; Perissodactyla; Equidae. The record is from RNAcentral.
AUGAGAGUUCUUUAUGAUAUGCUGAAGAGGAGUGUAAGGUAAAUAAUAAAGUAAUCAAGAAGUAGACAAGAGACACCCAGCUAGACUCUCCUUCCUUCUGGAGCCUGCCUCAGGGACAGCCAUGAAGCAUUUGGACAAUGGAGAGAAAGCAAGUGAAGCUGGAAGGAAUGGAUGAAGAAAACAUGACGGGAAAUGAAGAAAGGAGGAAUGCAAGCAAAAACAAGAACAGGAAUGAGGAAUAAAAAUAUGAGAAUAAGUGUGAGAAAACUAGACCAACGAGUGGAAGAACAAGAAGUCAUAUUUAAAAUUCAUUUUUAAAAGUGGAAUGAGUAUGGAAUAUUAUACAGUCAUCAAAAGGAAUGAAGUACUAACAGGUGCUACAACUCAGAUGAACUACUAAGUGAAAGAAGCAACACAAAGGACUAUAUAUUGUAUGAUUCCACGUACAUGAAAUAUCCAGAAUAGACAAACUCAGAGAAAGAAUGCAGACUAGUUGCUGCCAGGGGCUAGGGAGAGGGUGGAAUGGGGAGAAAGUGCUUGAUGGGUAAAAGGUUUUAUUUUGGAGUGAUGGAAAUGUUCUGGAACUAGACAGUGGUGCUGAUUGCACAGCAUUGUGAAUGUACUAAGUGCCACAGAAUUGCUCAUUUUAAAACGGUUAAUUUGGAAAUAAAAAGGAAAACGAAAAAGGUGGAAUAAGUAGCCUCAGGAUUUUUGAGUUCUCCGUCCCUAAAGUUGUUUGCUCCGGCAUAAACUGGAAGUUCACUCAUUAGACAUGCAGUGACAGCAGUAAUCAAGAUUGGAACAAAAUGAACCAAAGUUCC